This 1027-nucleotide long non-coding RNA is filed under the name Helianthus annuus (common sunflower). Lineage: Eukaryota; Viridiplantae; Streptophyta; Magnoliopsida; Asterales; Asteraceae. The record is from RNAcentral.
GCGAAUACAUAAAACAAAACAAACACUGAAGUCCUUUUCCCUCUCACACAGCACAAAUCAAAGAAACCCCCCCACCCACUCGUUUCUUCUCCGGUGAGACCACCGGCGGAACCGUUGCCGGUAUACCGCCCAGCCGCACCCCCUUCUUCUCCGACGCGACACCGCUACCCCCUUCAUCUUCUCCGGUCGGAUUUACGGCAGACACCAUCAACCGCCCCCCUGUUCUUGACUAAUUGAACCACCGACUACCACCCCUCUAGUGGUGGCACGCAGCGACGCGAGAGAGAGAGGAGACGAGAGAGAGAAGCAGGUUAGAGAUGGAAGUUUAACGGCUGCAACAGUGGUGGCACUCGAUAGAACCGUCGGCGACGGCGCCGCCGUGACGGCAGCGGUGGUGUUUCGACUCCGACGAGGCAACUGGUAAACCCUUCACCUUCCUACAUUUCGGUUCCUUUCUUUCGAUCUAAUGUAGGUUAAUACUGACAAUGUUCCGUUUGUUCGGGUCGAGUCUGGUUCGUGUUUCGACUCGGUUUGGUUUGGAUCUUGGCUCAGCUUAGCUCCGAUUCAGUUUUGGUUCUCGGUUUGUUUCGACUCACGCAGUUCGGUUCAGAUUCGGAUCGAUUUGGUUCAGAUCCGGUUCAGUCGAGUUCAAUCGGUUCGGUUCGAUGCCCGGGUCAAACCUGGUCAAACUUGGUCAACUGAGGUCUCGAUGCACUCGGUAGUUCAACGACGGUGACCUCGGUGUUCCACCCUCCAAAUCUUUUACGCUCGUCAACACUUGGAUAAUCGGAAGACUUAGCAAUUAUGUUGACAGUCAAGAUGUUGAAGAAUCAAGUUAGGAUGGACUAGAUACCCAUUUUAAUAAUAAACCAUGUUUGUUGCAAUUUGUCUUUAUUUGAAUCAAUGUAUUUGAAUUUAGUCAUUUAUGAAAUUUGAUUUAAUCUAUAUUGUCACAAAUAGUGUUAUGAUGCUUUUGAGCGAUUUGUUCGUCUCAUCCCGAUGUUUCCGCCAUCGGUUGGGGUGUGAC